UAUCAAUAAGCGGAGGAAAAGAAACCAACAGGGAUUGCCCUUAGUAACGGCGAAGUGAAGCGGCAACAGCUCAAAUUUGAAAUCUGGCUUCGGCCCGAGUUGUAAUUUGCAGAGGAAGCUUUAGGCGCGGCACCUUCUGAGUCCCCUGGAACGGGGCGCCAUAGAGGGUGAGAGCCCCGUAUAGUUGGAUGCCUAGCCUGUGUAAAGCUCCUUCGACGAGUCGAGUAGUUUGGGAAUGCUGCUCAAAAUGGGAGGUAAAUUUCUUCUAAAGCUAAAUACCGGCCAGAGACCGAUAGCGCACAAGUAGAGUGAUCGAAAGAUGAAAAGCACUUUGAAAAGAGGGUUAAAUAGCACGUGAAAUUGUUGAAAGGGAAGCGCUUGUGACCAGACUUGCGCCGGGCUGAUCAUCCGGUGUUCUCACCGGUGCACUCUGCCCGGCUCAGGCCAGCAUCGGUUCUCGCGGGGGGAUAAAGGUUCCGGGAAUGUAGCUCCUCCGGGAGUGUUAUAGCCCGGGGCGUAAUGCCCUCGCGGGGACCGAGGUUCGCGCUCUGCAAGGAUGCUGGCGUAAUGGUCAUCAGCGACCCGUCUUGAAACACGGACCAAGGAGUCAAGGUUUUGCGCGAGUGUUUGGGUGUAAAACCCGCACGCGUAAUGAAAGUGAACGUAGGUGAGAGCUUCGGCGCAUCAUCGACCGAUCCUGAUGUUUUCGGAUGGAUUUGAGUAAGAGCGUUAAGCCUUGGACCCGAAAGAUGGUGAACUAUGCUUGGAUAGGGUGAAGCCAGAGGAAACUCUGGUGGAGGCUCGCAGCGGUUCUGACGUGCAAAUCGAUCGUCAAAUCUGAGCAUGGGGGGCGAAAGACUAAUCGAACCAUCUAGUAGCUGGUACCGC
Molecule: ribosomal RNA, 888 nt
Filed under: Amesomyces nigricolor
Lineage: Eukaryota; Fungi; Ascomycota; Sordariomycetes; Sordariales; Chaetomiaceae
Description: LSU rRNA
Rfam family: Eukaryotic large subunit ribosomal RNA
Source: RNAcentral